Molecule: long non-coding RNA, 425 nt
Filed under: Nasonia vitripennis (jewel wasp)
Lineage: Eukaryota; Metazoa; Arthropoda; Insecta; Hymenoptera; Pteromalidae
Description: uncharacterized LOC107980892, transcript variant X2
Source: RNAcentral
ACUGUACAUACAUACACACAUAUAUGAUAUAUGCAUAUAUAUGUAUAAUAAAAUAUAGAAAUGGGAGGAGUAUCUCGGACAUUGAUUGGACGUGCUUCGAUUCACUUUAGUAUUUCAGUGUUUGCAAGUCACGUACUGCUGGAAGGCAAAAAAUUUUUUGCAAAUUUUUGUAAGUUCUUGGACCAGUUAAAAAUAAUGAUAAGCAUUGCUUUUUGAAUUCGACUAAGGUUUCAAAAGUAUCCGACAUACUGUUCAGUGGUGAUGGUGAUGUAAUAAUGUCUUGUCCAUCUAAAAUAGUCUGUGGUAUUCUUUCAACUCUUACACCCUUAUCUGGAAUCAAAAAAGGCAAAUCACCUGUUUCCAAAGAAGAUGAAUCAGUAUUAGAUGUAUUGUUAAAAGGCAAUAAAUUUAUUAAAUCUUGAUAA